GACGAACGCUGGCGGCGUGCUUAACACAUGCAAGUCGAACGGUGAAGGGGUCUGCUUUUGUGGGCCCUGGAUGAGUGGCGAACGGGUGAGUAACACGUGAGUAACCUGCCCCCUUCUUCUGGAUAACCGCAUGAAAGUGUGGCUAAUACGGGAUAUUCUGGGUCUGUCGCAUGAUGGGUCUGGGAAAGAUUGCGCCUUUGGGUGUUUUUGGUGGGGGAUGGGCUCGCGGCCUAUCAGCUUGUUGGUGGGGUGAUGGCCUACCAAGGCGGUGACGGGUAGCCGGCCUGAGAGGGUGGACGGUCACACUGGGACUGAGACACGGCCCAGACUCCUACGGGAGGCAGCAGUGGGGAAUAUUGCACAAUGGGCGCAAGCCUGAUGCAGCGACGCCGCGUGAGGGAUGGAGGCCUUCGGGUUGUAAACCUCUUUAGCCAGUGAAGCAGGCCUGCUCCUUGUGGGUGGGUUGACGGUAGCUGGAUAAGAAGCGCCGGCUAACUACGUG
Molecule: ribosomal RNA, 502 nt
Filed under: uncultured bacterium
Lineage: Bacteria
Description: partial 16S ribosomal RNA
Rfam family: Bacterial small subunit ribosomal RNA
Source: RNAcentral